This is a long non-coding RNA of Erinaceus europaeus (western European hedgehog), 599 nucleotides long. RefSeq lists it as uncharacterized. The transcript has 3 exons. NCBI's taxonomy places the organism in Eukaryota, Metazoa, Chordata, Mammalia, Eulipotyphla, Erinaceidae. The record is from RefSeq and is a predicted model, not a curated record.
GGUCCUGGGACCUCUGGGGCUUUGCUAAUUUUCUUCAUGCUUCUCCUGAUCCAUACCAUUUGAUACUGCAUUUGCUGUUCUCAACCAAAUCAGUGUAACCAAUGCCACCUCUUCAUGUUCCACUUCGGACUAUGUCCAGAGACACCAAGUGUAGGAUGUCAACCCUCCAGUUUCAAUAUUCAGAUAAAGGAGCUUAGUCUUAGAGGUGUUCAGUAAUCUGCCCAAGGUCACAUGGACAGCAAGUGACACCCAGGACUGAAGUCCAAUCCUUUUGUUUGUACAGUUUAGGCUUAUUGAAAAUAAUGGACACCAAGUUGCAGAUGUUACCAUGAUGCCAAUGUGACAGGUUGAUGCCAGGCAGACAACCUCACUAAUGUACCCUGGAACCCCACAUCUCCAGAGCCCUGCCCCACUAGGCUGGGAGUAUGGAUUGACCUGCCAACAUCCAUGUCCAGCAGAAAAGUAAUCACAGAAGCCAGACCUUCCACCUUCUGCACCCCAUAAUGAUCGUGGAUCCAUGCUCUCAGAGGGAUAAAGAACAGGAAAGCUUCCAAUGGAGGGAAUGGGAUGUGGAACUCUGGUGGUGGGAAUUGUGUGGA